UACGUAGGUGACCAGCGUUGUCCGGAUUUACUGGGCGUAAAGAGCGCGCAGGCGGUCGUUCAAGUCGAGUGUGAAAGCCCCCGGCUCAACUGGGGAGGGUCAUUCGAUACUGAUCGACUUGAAGGCAGGAGAGGGAAGCGGAAUUCCCGGUGUAGUGGUGAAACGCGUAGAUAUCGGGAGGAACACCAGUGGCGAAGGCGGCUUCCUGGCCUGUUCUUGACGCUGAGGCGCGAAAGCUAGGGGAGCAAACGGG
Molecule: ribosomal RNA, 253 nt
Filed under: uncultured bacterium
Lineage: Bacteria
Description: partial 16S ribosomal RNA
Rfam family: Bacterial small subunit ribosomal RNA
Source: RNAcentral